CCAAUAGCGUAUAUUAAAGUUGUUGCAGUUAAAAAGCUCGUAGUUGAAUUUCGGGGUUAGUAGGUUGGUCAUGCCUCUGGUAUGUACUGGUCUCACUGAUUCCUCCUUCCUGAUGAACCGUAAUGCCAUUAAUUUGGUGUUGCGGGGAAUUUGGACUGUUACUUUGAAAAAAUUAGAGUGUUUAAAGCAAGCUAACGCUUGAAUACAUUAGCAUGGAAUAAUGAAAUAGGACGUUCGAUCCUAUUUUGUUGGUUUCUAGGAUUGACGUAAUGAUUAAUAGGGAUAGGUGGGGGCAUUAGUAUUCAAUUGUCCGAGGUGAAAUUCUUGGAUUUAUUGAAGACUAACUACGGCGAAAGCAUUUGCCAAGGAUGUUUUCAUUAAUCAAGAACGAAAGUUAGGGGAUCGAAGACGAUCAGAUACCGUCGUAGUCUUAACCAUAAACUAUGCCGACUAGGAAUCAGACGAUGUUAAUUUUUUAAUGACUCGUUUGGCACCUUACG
This 500-nucleotide ribosomal RNA is filed under the name uncultured Glomeromycotina. RNAcentral describes it as "partial small subunit ribosomal RNA". It matches the Rfam family "Eukaryotic small subunit ribosomal RNA", at positions 591 to 1092 of the family's 1831-position model. The record is from RNAcentral. Lineage: Eukaryota; Fungi; Glomeromycota.